AAGUAUAGACAUAAUCCAGGUGCGCUUAGGAUUGAAAUCCAAGCCAAGAGGGAACCCUGUGAGAAUCAGGGGUGGUCCCGCCGCUGUAAAUGGGGACGAAGACUGUUAUUUACCACUGGGAUAUACAUAAAUCCCGGGAAGGUGCAGUCAAUAGGAUGAUCCAUAAACCAGAAGACCUGCCUGGUAAACAUUGGUAAA
Molecule: non-coding RNA, 198 nt
Filed under: Nitrospirota bacterium
Lineage: Bacteria; Pseudomonadati; Nitrospirota
Source: RNAcentral